This 1555-nucleotide long non-coding RNA is filed under the name Calidris pugnax (ruff). Its description in RNAcentral is "lncRNA (ENSCPUG00000011428.1)". The record is from RNAcentral. Lineage: Eukaryota; Metazoa; Chordata; Aves; Charadriiformes; Scolopacidae.
GCAAAGUCAACAACCUCAUCAAAGUGGAUGCUUGCAAGUGGCUUUGGUGCCGGACAACUCCUCUCUGCAUUACAGGGUGUUUGUGAAGAGCUCUCAUUUGGAGCUCUGGGAUUACAAAGCGAGGCUGAAUGAUUUGAUCUUCUUGACUAGAAGACAGAGCAGGCUGAAAUACGAGAGACGCCCUUCGGCACGUUUGUUACUGCAAAGCCCAAGAACAAACCAAAACAAUCACUGCCUUGCCUUACCAGGAAAAAAUGAGCCCAUCGCAUUCAGCUGCUUAGAAGUUUUGAAGUCUAUAAACAAACUGAGAAUAGGCUGUAGGAUUUAAUUAGCUGAAGGGCUUAAGAGAGCUUUCCCAGGAGUUGGGAUUGUGAGCCCAAGCCAAACGAGCGCGGUGCAGAGGGGCAGAGUCCCCACUGCCAUUACUCUGCUCUCCUGAGACCCCACCUGGAGCACUGCAUCCAGAUCUGGGGCCACCAACAGCAGAAGGACACGGAGCUGCUGGAGUGGGACCAGAGGAGGCCACAGAGAUGCUGGGAGGGCUGGAGCCCCUCUGCUGGGAGGGGGGGCUGAGAGAGUUGGGGGGGUUCAGCCUGGAGAAGAGAAGGCCCCGGGGAGACCUGCCAGCCCCUUCCAGUCCCUAAAGAAGGGGGGCUCCAGGAAAGCUGGGGAGGGACUCUGGAUCAGGGAGGGGAGCCCGAGGAGGAGGGGGAAGGGUUUGACCCUGAAAGAGGGGAGAUGGAGCUGAGCUGUGGGGAAGAACUUGUUUGGUGGGAGGGUGGUGAGAGCCUGGCCCAGGUUGGCCAGAGAAGCUGUGGCUGCCCCAUCCCUGGAGGGGUUCAAGGGCAGGUUGGAGGGGGCUUGGAGCCACCUGGUGUGGUGGGAGGUGUCCCUGCCCAGGGCAGGGGGUGGGACUAGAUGGGCUUUAAAGUCCCUUUCAACUCAAACCAUUCCAUGAUAAAAAUGCAGGCCCCAUUCCAAAGACUCCUUCCAACUUUCCCGUUGGAGCUGCUUUCCAGGCCAGUGCAGACGGGUGGAUGAGAUCCAUGCCGUUACAAGACAGGGUCCCUUAUUUCUCUCUCUCUCUGCUUGCCCCAGUCCUGAAAUAUGUGGUUCCCUCAGCCUGCCAGCUGGCUGGCCCCAUUUUAUUGCGGCCUCUUCUGUCGGCCCUGCCAGCCUGGGCCCUGCGACGCCAACCGCCAGUUGGACAACCGCCUGCAAAUGGCUGCUGAGGUGGAGAACCUGCAGAGCUGCUCUACGGAGGCUGGUGGUGGAUGCUGAGGUGUCUGCUCUUCCUUACAGGGGUCUCGGAAAGCAACUCGCUCCAUCCCCGGUGAGGAAUCCCGUGGUGCCAGCAGCCUUUGACUGUCCCCAUGGACUCCGGGAAGCCCCAUCACCCCACCGACCCGCUGCUCAAAAGUUUGGCUUUAUUGAGUGCAACGUCGCCGUGAGAAGCUGUGGCACGGAGGGGUUCCUGGUGAGCAACCCUCGGGCUCUUGCGUUGGGGUGCUCCAGGCUUGGGAAAGCUGUUUCCUCGGGAUCCUCAGCCGUCUGA